GGGUUCAUCCGUUGGUCGGGCUUUUUUGGUCUGUACUGGCGUGAUGGAUUCCUACCUUCUGAAUAAUCAGCAUGUCCUUAAUUGGGUGUCAUGUGGAACCAGGACCUUUACCUUGAAAAAAUUAGAGUGUUUAAAGCAGGCAUUUUGCUCGAAUACAUUAGCAUGGAAUAAUAGAAUAGGACGGCAUGGUUCUAUUUUGUUGGUUUCUAGGAUCACCGUA
Molecule: ribosomal RNA, 220 nt
Filed under: Campeiostachys nutans
Lineage: Eukaryota; Viridiplantae; Streptophyta; Magnoliopsida; Poales; Poaceae
Description: Elymus nutans partial small subunit ribosomal RNA
Rfam family: Eukaryotic small subunit ribosomal RNA
Source: RNAcentral